CUUCAAUUCUAUGUAAUGGAAAUCGUUCAUCUUUAAAACCAUGUUAUCAUGAAUAUAAAAGUACAAAUGAUCUGGGAAAAGUAAACAAUCAUUUUACA
This is a long non-coding RNA of Perognathus longimembris pacificus (Pacific pocket mouse), 98 nucleotides long. RefSeq lists it as uncharacterized. The transcript is spliced from 4 exons. The record is from RefSeq and is a predicted model, not a curated record. NCBI's taxonomy places the organism in Eukaryota, Metazoa, Chordata, Mammalia, Rodentia, Heteromyidae.